Molecule: ribosomal RNA, 524 nt
Filed under: uncultured bacterium
Lineage: Bacteria
Description: partial 16S ribosomal RNA
Rfam family: Bacterial small subunit ribosomal RNA
Source: RNAcentral
GACGAACGCUGGCGGCGUGCCUAAUACAUGCAAGUCGAACGCUUCUUUUUCCACCGGAGCUUGCUCCACCGGAAAAAGAGGAGUGGCGAACGGGUGAGUAACACGUGGGUAACCUGCCCAUCAGAAGGGGAUAACACUUGGAAACAGGUGCUAAUACCGUAUAACAAUCAAAACCGCAUGGUUUUGAUUUGAAAGGCGCUUUCGGGUGUCGCUGAUGGAUGGACCCGCGGUGCAUUAGCGAGUUGGUGAGGUAACGGCUCACCAAGGCCACGAUGGAUAGCCGACCUGGGAGGGUGAUCGGCCACAUUGGGACUGAGACACGGCCCAAACUCCUACGGGAGGCAGCAGUAGGGAAUCUUCGGCAAUGGACGAAAGUCUGACCGAGCAACGCCGCGUGAGUGAAGAAGGUUUUCGGAUCGUAAAACUCUGUUGUUAGAGAAGAACAAGGAUGAGAGUAACUGUUCAUCCCUUGACGGUAUCUAACCAGAAAGCCACGGCUAACUACGUGCCAGCCGCCGCCGUAA